RNAcentral lists this ribosomal RNA (566 nucleotides) under Hormonema sp. YM24954. Its description in RNAcentral is "eukaryotic LSU rRNA". It matches the Rfam family "Eukaryotic large subunit ribosomal RNA", at positions 73 to 657 of the family's 3401-position model. The record is from RNAcentral. Lineage: Eukaryota; Fungi; Ascomycota; Dothideomycetes; Dothideales; Dothioraceae.
AUGCCCUAGUACGGCGAGUGAGCGGCAAUAGCUCAAAUUUGAAAGCUGGCCUCUGGUCCGCAUUGUAAUUUGUAGAGGAUGCUUUUAGGCAGCCGCCGGUCUAAGUUCCUUGGAACAGGACGUCAUAGAGGGUGAGAAUCCCGUAUGUGACCGGCUCAGGCACCUUCUGUAAAGCUCCUUCGACGAGUCGAGUUGUUUGGGAAUGCAGCUCUAAAUGGGAGGUAAAUUUCUUCUAAAGCUAAAUACCGGCGAGAGACCGAUAGCGCACAAGUAGAGUGAUCGAAAGAUGAAAAGCACUUUGGAAAGAGAGUUAAAAAGCACGUGAAAUUGUUGAAAGGGAAGCGCUUGCAAUCAGACUUGGACUUGGCUGUUCAACCGGUCUUCUGACCGGCCCACUCAGUCUUGUCCAGGCCAGCAUCAGUUUCGGCGGCCGGAUAAAGGCCCCGGGAAUGUAGCUGCCUCUUCGGGGGCAGUGUUAUAGCCCGGGGUGUAAUACGGCCAGCCGGGACUGAGGUCCGCGCUUCGGCUAGGAUGCUGGCGUAAUGGUUGUAAGCGGCCCGUCUUGA